RNAcentral lists this unclassified non-coding RNA (215 nucleotides) under uncultured fungus. Its description in RNAcentral is "sequence contains ITS1, 5.8S rRNA gene". The stretch from base 167 to 215 matches the Rfam family "5.8S ribosomal RNA", at positions 1 to 49 of the family's 154-position model. Lineage: Eukaryota; Fungi. The record is from RNAcentral.
UUUCCGUAGGUGAACCUGCGGAAGGAUCAUUACUGAGUGAGGGCCUCCGGGCUCGACCUCCCACCCUUCUGUCGUCCGACCGCGUUGCUUCGGGGCCGCCUGCGGGCGCCCCGGAGGACCGUCAACUCUGCAUCACUGCGUCUGAGUAUAUUUUCAAUAACAUGAAAACUUUCAACAACGGAUCUCUUGGUUCUGGCAUCGAUGAAGAACGCAGC